This 492-nucleotide ribosomal RNA is filed under the name uncultured bacterium. Its description in RNAcentral is "partial 16S ribosomal RNA". It matches the Rfam family "Bacterial small subunit ribosomal RNA", at positions 30 to 507 of the family's 1533-position model. The record is from RNAcentral.
AUUGAACGCUGGCGGCAUGCUUUACACAUGCAAGUCGAACGGUAACAGGCCUUCGGGUGCUGACGGGUGGCGAACGGGUGAGUAAUGCAUCGGAACGUGCCCAGAGGUGGGGGAUAACGCAGCGAAAGCUGUGCUAAUACCGCAUGCGAUCUGAGGAUGAAAGCGGGGGACCAAGCAGCAAUGUUUGGCCUCGCGCCUCUGGAGCGGCCGAUGUCCGAUUAGGUAGUUGGUGGGGUAAAGGCCUACCAAGCCGACGAUCUGUAGCUGGUCUGAGAGGACGACCAGCCACACUGGGACUGAGACACGGCCCAGACUCCUACGGGAGGCAGCAGUGGGGAAUUUUGGACAAUGGGCGCAAGCCUGAUCCAGCAAUGCCGCGUGCGGGAAGAAGGCCUUCGGGUUGUAAACCGCUUUUGUACGGAACGAAAAGGCUCUGGCUAAUACCUGGGGCUGAUGACGGUACCGUAAGAAUAAGCACCGGCUAACUACGUG